Molecule: long non-coding RNA, 341 nt
Organism: Rhineura floridana
Lineage: Eukaryota; Metazoa; Chordata; Lepidosauria; Squamata; Rhineuridae
Exons: 4
Source: RefSeq, a predicted model, not a curated record
AACUAUGCCUUUGGCCGUAAUGUCUUAGUAAAGACUCUUAACACUUUUUCAAGCCUCUGUGAAGUUUCUUGCUCAACUUAACUCCAAAGUAACGUUGUUGUUUCAUGCAACAACGCUCACACAUCAACAGGACUGCACACAGCAAAGUGUUGGGCCAAUCACUGUUUCUAUCUGAGCCUACAGCAAAGCAGAGCAAGGAGAUCUGAGGCUCUGCGUUAAUCCUGUUGUGUCCCCUGAAGAACUGUAGCUGAAUUACAAGCCCUCCUAUCUGCACUAUAAGGUUUUCCCAUGGUUUGAUACCAUCUUGUGUUGGCGCUACAUGUGUGAACGUUCAUAGGAUU